UGGGUCUGGUUGAACCUCCUACUGGGCACU
Molecule: non-coding RNA, 30 nt
Filed under: Rattus norvegicus (Norway rat)
Lineage: Eukaryota; Metazoa; Chordata; Mammalia; Rodentia; Muridae
Source: RNAcentral